RNAcentral lists this non-coding RNA (97 nucleotides) under Clostridium ihumii. RNAcentral describes it as "SAM riboswitch (S box leader)". It matches the Rfam family "SAM riboswitch aptamer (S box leader)". Rfam says of the family: The SAM riboswitch is found upstream of a number of genes which code for proteins involved in methionine or cysteine biosynthesis in Gram-positive bacteria. The SAM riboswitch acts at the level of transcription termination control. Lineage: Bacteria; Bacillati; Bacillota; Clostridia; Eubacteriales; Clostridiaceae. The record is from RNAcentral.
UCUUAUUUUGAGUGAUUGAGGGAUCUGGCCCUAUGAAAUCCGGCAACCAGCAUUUUGCAUUGGUGCUAAUUCCAGCGGUUUUUACCGAAAGAUAAGA